CCCUGUGCAAUCGGUCGGUUCGGUUCCGAACCGAACCGAACCGAUAAAACCGAAAACCGAUUUGCUGAAAUUUUAAAAAUCGAAAAAACCGAUUCUGGAGGUAUAACCGAACCGAAUCGAACCGAUAAAAAUCGGUUCGGUUCGGUUCGGUUCGGUUAAAACCGAAAUCUGUUUUUUUUUUAAUUUUUUAUUUUUAAUUUGGAACCUGUGCAAUCGGUCGGUUCAGUUCCGAACCG
RNAcentral lists this long non-coding RNA (236 nucleotides) under Manihot esculenta (cassava). Its description in RNAcentral is "long non-coding RNA (MESC_LNC006706)". The record is from RNAcentral. Lineage: Eukaryota; Viridiplantae; Streptophyta; Magnoliopsida; Malpighiales; Euphorbiaceae.